ACCAAAGUCGAGACCGACCCAAAGUCGAGACUGACCCAAAGUUGAGACCGACCCAAAGUCAAGACCAACCCAAGACUGACCCAACGUUCAGACCAACCCAAAGUUGAAACUGACCCAAAGUCAAGACCAAUCCAAGACUGACCCAAAGUCAAAACUGACCCAAAGUCAAGACCAACCCAAAGUGAAGACCAACUUAAAGUUAAAACCAAUCCAAAGUCAAGACCAAUCCAAGACCGGCCCAAAGUCAAAACUGACCCAAAGUCAAGACUGACCCAAAGUUGAGACCAACCCAAAGUUGAGACCAACUCAAAGUCGAGAUGGACCCAAAGUCGAGACCAAUCCAAGACCAACCCAAACUUGCGACUGACCCAAAGUCAAGACCAAUCCAAGACCGACCCAAAGUCGAGACUGACCCAAAGAUC
RNAcentral lists this long non-coding RNA (422 nucleotides) under Taeniopygia guttata (zebra finch). Its description in RNAcentral is "lncRNA (ENSTGUG00000024785.1)". Lineage: Eukaryota; Metazoa; Chordata; Aves; Passeriformes; Estrildidae. The record is from RNAcentral.